This 969-nucleotide ribosomal RNA is filed under the name uncultured bacterium. RNAcentral's name for it is "bacterial SSU rRNA". It matches the Rfam family "Bacterial small subunit ribosomal RNA", at positions 58 to 1067 of the family's 1533-position model. The record is from RNAcentral.
CAAGUCGAACGAGGCCCUUGUAUUCGUAGAAGGUGUCCUAGUGGCGAACGGUGAGUAACACGUUGGUGACCUGCCCCAAAGAGGGGGACAACCCCGGGAAACUGGGGCUAAUACCCCAUGUGCUCCAGGGAUUAGAGAACCCUGGAGAAAAGGAGAAAUCCGCUUUGGGAGGGGCCUGCGGCCCAUCAACUAGUGGGAGGGUAAUGGCCUACCAGGUAGACGGUAGGGACCUGAGAGGUGCCCCACACUGCACUGAACACGGGCCAGACACCUACGGGUGGCAGCAGUGGGAAUAUUGCCCAUGGACGAAAGUCUAGGCAGCAACGCCGCGUGCGCGAUGAAGGCCUUCGGGUUGUAAAGCGCUUUUCUGGGGAAGAGAAAGGACGGUACCCCAGGAAUAAGUCUCGGCUAACUACGUGCCAGCAGCCGCGGUAAAACGUAGGAGGCAAGCGUUAUCCGGAUUUACUGGGCGUAAAGCGCGUGCAGGCGGUUUGGUAAGUCGGACGUGAAAGCUCCCGGCUCAACUGGGAGAGGCCGUUCGAGACUACCAGACUAGAGGGCAGCAGAGGGAGGUGGAAUCAGGGUGUAGCGGUGAAAUGCGUAGAUAUCCGGAGGAACACAGUGGCGAGGCGCCUCCUGGACUGUCCUGACGCUAAGACCGAAGCUAGGGAGCAACGGGAUUAGAAACCCCGGUAGUCCUAGCCGUAAACGAUGCAGACUUGGUGUUGGUGGUGUAAAAGCCAUCAGUGCCGUAGCUAACGCGAUAAGUCUGCCGCCUGGGGACUACGACCGCAAGGUAAAACUCAAAGGAAUUGACGGGACCCGCACAAGCAGCGGAGCGUGUGGUUUAAUUCGAGGCUACGCGAAGAACCUUACCUGGGCUUGACAUGCAUGUAGUAGGGAUCCGAAAGGUGACGACCCUUCGGGGAGCGUGCACAGGUGCUGCAUGGCUGUCGUCAGCUCGUGCCG